AGGCCGCGGGACUACUUUCUCCCGGCGCCGGGGCCCCGCCGGGGCCCGCGCGCCCCCCGGGCCGGCGGGCGGCCCCUGCCCCGGCUGCCGCUCCCCGCGCAGCCCCCGCCGCGGCCCGGACCGCGGCCCGCUCGGUGCGCUCGGCGGGGCCGCUGUCGGCGGCCGGUAUCCCUCCGCCGGGGUCGUCACCCCGGGUCCGCGAGAAUGUCCGCCCUCGGGGCGGGCGGGGGGCGGCGGGGCCGCGGGUCUGCGCUGGCACCGGCGGCGGGGGUCGGACCCUGCCCGGCACCGCGGCGCCGCCGGGGCUGCUCCUUUAAGAGGGGGCCGGGCCCGCCGUGACCCCGCGCGAUGUCCGCCCCUUCCUGGUUGCCAUGGGGACCGCCCGCCGGCGUCCAAAAUGGCGGCGGCGGAGCCGCGCGGAGCUGCUGCUCCUUCCUCCGCCCGGGAAAGAAGGAAGGCGACCGGGGCCUGUCCCCGGCUCCUGAGGCAUCAGCGGCUUUAGCGAGGGCUUGUGCUUGAGCAAGGAGCUCCUUGCCUGGGCAGGACGGGGGUCGCCUGUUAACGCCGGGAAGCGAGCCGGGAGGCGCCUCCAGUAAGUGCUGCAGGCCGGGCCUCCUGAGGGCUGGGAACGCUGGGCCGCGGCCCGGGGAUGUGGUGUCGGGAAAAAUUGCUGCACAAUGACUGGGAAAUGUAUGCUUUUGAACAGCUGAAGUCUUGUAAUGGGCCUGUCCCAUUGACCCCAUGGGAAUCCUAUCAGUGCCCUGCUUGUUCAUGGAAUAUGUAAUUCAGUGUUAUGGGGUAUUUACCAUUCAUUUUUGCACUCAGAUAAUAAAAGUAAGAUGUCCCUUUUUA
Molecule: long non-coding RNA, 852 nt
Organism: Pipra filicauda (Wire-tailed manakin)
Lineage: Eukaryota; Metazoa; Chordata; Aves; Passeriformes; Pipridae
Exons: 2
Source: RefSeq, a predicted model, not a curated record